UGGUAUUACGCCGGAUGAACGGAAAUCAUUGAUGUCGAUUAAUACAGGAGACAAGGUUCUUCUUAAUACCAGC
This 73-nucleotide transfer RNA is filed under the name Marisa cornuarietis. RNAcentral's name for it is "tRNA-Ile". The record is from RNAcentral. Lineage: Eukaryota; Metazoa; Mollusca; Gastropoda; Architaenioglossa; Ampullariidae.